Molecule: transfer RNA, 84 nt
Filed under: Bacteroidota bacterium
Lineage: Bacteria; Pseudomonadati; Bacteroidota
Description: Bacteroidetes bacterium (freshwater metagenome) tRNA-Ser
Rfam family: tRNA
About the family: Transfer RNA (tRNA) molecules are approximately 80 nucleotides in length. Their secondary structure includes four short double-helical elements and three loops (D, anti-codon, and T loops).
Source: RNAcentral
GGAAGGUUUAGCCGAUUGGCAACGGCACCUGUCUUGAAAACAGGCGAGCGAUGAGCCUUGCGAGUUCGACUCCCGCACCUUCCG